This 327-nucleotide ribosomal RNA is filed under the name Triticum aestivum (bread wheat). RNAcentral describes it as "partial small subunit ribosomal RNA". The record is from RNAcentral. Lineage: Eukaryota; Viridiplantae; Streptophyta; Magnoliopsida; Poales; Poaceae.
AUGGACGCACGGAUGAGGCUGGUAGUUCAGUCAGCAUCAUUGAUAGUUGUGAUUCAGGCAUGGCUCAUAAUCAUGCACAGGAGAGAUGUCCGUCGUGCUGAGGGACCUGCAAUCAGUUACGCUCCAAUGCUUAUGCGGGAGAAGGAGGGGAUCGUCAAUCUGAACUACAUCUUGCAAAGACACAGAGGCCCUGUGGAUGCUUUGAAUGAAAAGGGCGCCAUUUGUCAGAUUUUUCCAGACCUUCAGGAGCAGGAGGCUACUACAAGAUAUCAUCCAAACCAGUGUGGAAGAGCAACUGAUCAUGUUCCUCCAUGUUGUUGGCCAUAA